UGAUCCUGGCUCAGAGCGAACGCUGGCGGCAGGCCUAACACAUGCAAGUCGCGCGCCGUAGCAAUACGGAGCGGCAGACGGGAGAGUAACACGUGGGAACGUGCCCUUUGGUUCGGAACAACCCAGGGAAACUUGGGCUAAUACCGGAUAAGCCCUUACGGGGAAAGAUUUAUCGCCGAAGGAUCGGCCCGCGUCUGAUUAGCUAGUUGGUGGCGUAAUGGCCCACCAAGGCGACGAUCAGUAGCUGGUCUGAGAGGAUGAUCAGCCUCACUGGGACUGAGACACGGCCCAGACUCCUACGGGAGGCAGCACUGGGGAAUAUUGGACAAUGGGCGCAAGCCUGAUCCAGCCAUGCCGCGUGGGUGAUGAAGGCCCUAGGGUUGUAAAGCCCUUUCGGCGGGGAAGAUAAUGACGGUACCCGCAGAAGAAGCUCCGGCUAACUACGUGCCAGCAGCCGCGGUAAGACGUA
RNAcentral lists this ribosomal RNA (469 nucleotides) under uncultured Alphaproteobacteria bacterium. RNAcentral's name for it is "bacterial SSU rRNA". It matches the Rfam family "Bacterial small subunit ribosomal RNA", at positions 14 to 529 of the family's 1533-position model. Lineage: Bacteria; Pseudomonadati; Pseudomonadota; Alphaproteobacteria. The record is from RNAcentral.